Molecule: non-coding RNA, 72 nt
Organism: Ixodes scapularis (black-legged tick)
Lineage: Eukaryota; Metazoa; Arthropoda; Arachnida; Ixodida; Ixodidae
Source: Rfam
UCGUGAUUAGUUCAGUUGGUAGAGCGCUUCACUGGAAAUGAAAGCUCCCUGUUUCGAUACCAGGACCAGGAG